Molecule: RNA transcript, 6425 nt
Organism: Saimiri boliviensis boliviensis (Bolivian squirrel monkey)
Lineage: Eukaryota; Metazoa; Chordata; Mammalia; Primates; Cebidae
Gene: ADCYAP1R1
Gene name: ADCYAP receptor type I
Source: RefSeq, a predicted model, not a curated record
GGGGCGGAGGCGGUGGUCGGUCGGCUCUCUCCAGCGCACGGCCUGGCUUGGUGGCAGAGGCGGCGCCUGGCCCGCAGGACCGAGCCGGGCUGGACUGCCGCGCCACGCGGGACGGGCGAAGGGGGGCGCUGCGCUCGGCCCCGGGCGGGGACUGACGGCGGCGGCUGCUCCGGACGAGCGUGGUCCCCGCGUGCGUACACGCACACGCCGCUGCGCAGGGACACACGGACCCCGGCCGCCCACGGCCACACAGGCGCUGAGACCCAGCUUGGCGCGCGCUCCUCCGCACACCCGCUCCCCAUCCCCGCGCGGCGCUGGCCGCGGACUCGCUGGCUGCGCGUCGUUUGCUGAGUCUGCCCCGGCCCCCCGUGAGCAGCCCGGAGACACACUGGGGCUGACCCGCCGCUGCUGUCAGCGGGAAGCCAGCAGUGCUGGCCAAGAAGUGUCAUGGCUGGUGUUGUGCAGGUCUCCCUGGCUGCUCUCCUCCUGCUGCCUAUGGCCUCCGCCAUGCAUUCUGACUGCAUCUUCAAGAAGGAGCAAGCCAUGUGCCUGGAGAAGAUCCAGAGGGCCAAUGAACUGAUGGGCUUCAACGACUCCUCUCCAGGCUGUCCCGGGAUGUGGGAUAACAUCACGUGUUGGAAGCCUGCCCACGUGGGUGAGAUGGUCCUGGUCAGCUGCCCUGAACUCUUCCGAAUCUUCAACCCAGACCAAGUUUGGGAGACCGAAACCAUUGGAGAGUCUGAUUUUGGUGACAGUAACUCCUUAGAUCUCUCAGACAUGGGAGUGGUGAGCCGGAACUGCACGGAGGAUGGCUGGUCGGAACCCUUCCCUCAUUACUUUGAUGCCUGCGGGUUUGAUGAAUAUGAAUCUGAGACUGGGGACCAAGAUUAUUACUACCUGUCGGUAAAGGCCCUCUACACAGUCGGCUACAGCACGUCCCUCGUCACUCUCACCACUGCCAUGGUCAUCCUGUGUCGCUUCCGGAAGCUGCAUUGCACACGCAACUUCAUCCACAUGAACCUGUUUGUGUCGUUCAUGCUGAGGGCGAUCUCCGUCUUCAUCAAAGACUGGAUUCUGUAUGCAGAGCAGGACAGCAACCACUGCUUCGUCUCUACCGUGGAAUGUAAGGCUGUCAUGGUUUUCUUCCACUACUGUGUUGUGUCCAACUACUUCUGGCUGUUCAUCGAGGGCCUGUACCUCUUCACCCUGCUGGUGGAGACCUUCUUCCCUGAAAGGAGAUACUUCUACUGGUACACCAUUAUUGGCUGGGGGACCCCGACUGUGUGCGUGACGGUGUGGGCUACACUGAGACUCUACUUUGAUGACACAGGCUGCUGGGAUAUGAAUGACAGCACAGCUCUGUGGUGGGUGAUCAAAGGCCCUGUGGUUGGCUCUAUCAUGGUUAACUUUGUGCUUUUUAUUGGCAUCAUCGUUAUCCUUGUGCAGAAACUUCAGUCUCCAGACAUGGGAGGCAAUGAGUCCAGCAUCUACUUCAGCUGCGUGCAGAAAUGCUACUGCAAGCCACAGCGGGCUCAGCAGCACUCUUGCAAGAUGUCAGAACUGUCCACCAUUACUCUGCGGCUGGCCCGGUCCACCCUGCUGCUCAUCCCACUAUUUGGAAUCCACUACACGGUAUUCGCCUUCUCCCCAGAGAAUGUCAGCAAAAGGGAAAGACUCGUGUUUGAGCUGGGGCUGGGCUCCUUCCAGGGCUUUGUGGUGGCUGUUCUCUACUGUUUUCUGAAUGGCGAGGUACAAGCGGAGAUCAAGCGAAAAUGGCGAAGCUGGAAGGUGAACCGUUACUUCGCUGUGGACUUCAAGCACCGACAUCCGUCUCUGGCCAGCAGUGGGGUGAACGGGGGCACCCAGCUCUCCAUCCUGAGCAAGAGCAGCUCCCAAAUCCGCAUGUCUGGUCUCCCCGCUGACAACCUGGCCACCUGAGCUGCCCUCCCCUCCCUCCUCUCCUCCAUCCACAGGCUGGGACUGCAGGCAGGCGCCAGCCCACGCAUGUUCAUGCCUCCUCCCUCCCCUUGGGCAGGCCCUGGGCUGGAAGCUUGGCUCCCCAAGGGGGAGAAGGAGGCAGGGCAGACUAGGAUUGUUCCCUCAUUUUGGUACGGGCCCCACCCACUGUGGUCCCCUGGGCCCUGACCCCAGACAUGUAAAUACUCCUCGAAUUUGGAAAAGUUGUCCCAUACCUUUCUCCUCGUGUCCCUCCUCACCUCCAGCCAGGUCUCAGUUCCACCCAUCUGUGUCUCGGUCAGCCUCAGUGAUGGCCUGACCUCAGCUGUGAGGCCUCGUGAGCUAAGGCUGAAGAGAGCUUGCCUGUGGGAGCUGGCGUGGUACCUGUCCCAACAGCCCCCCUCAUCAUCUGAUUUUGGAUGUGACCCCUCGGGAGUGUGCAUGCCACUGUGGGGCUCCUCUCAGUCCUGGGCCCAAGUCCCCGAAGCCCAGCAGAGGGCCAGCUCGUGUGGCCAGAACGGCCCUUGGUGCAGAUCUCCUGGCACUCGCCCAGCAUCUUGGUGUCUGGGUGUUCAGCUCCUGGGUCCCAGGGCAGUGGGACAGCUCCAAGCCUCUUCUCAUCAGAGACUUCAGUUUGGGUGGGAAGUCCAUAGGUCAGGAAAAGUUCUGGUGCUUUUCAUUUGAUCCAAGAGGAGCCGAGAGCCAGAAAUGUGGCUGUGAUUGGGAGACACACAGCUUGGGAGACCCAUGGAAGAAAACCCUUUGCCAUCUCCAUUGAUUUAACCCCAGCUCAAGAUGGGCAGCGUUCUUCUGGUCACCUCCCGUCCACCUCUCCUACCCACAUGGAUGCCUUCCAGAAGCUGUUUCCAACCACGCCCACCAGAGAGUCCCUAAGGCCUCCCCUCCCCAUUUCCCCCAAGUCAAAGCCAUGACUAGGAUGAACCAGCCGCCUGCCUGUGAUGUCAGUGAAUCCUGAAUCACCUUUCGCCUCCAUGCGCCUGAGUCUGGGGCCCAGGGCUCUCCCACCCCCACUCCCACCCCCAUGGAUAAGGUGUCCCAGACACCAGAUCCUCGGGCCUGGACUCAACUAUUGAAAUCUGAGACCUCUGCCAAGAUGUCCCUUAUAUGCCCUUGACCUUGACUCACCAUGGGCUGCUAGGGUGUCAGGAGAAGCCGCACCCACCAUGCCCAUUCUCAUGGGGUAUUUGCUUCCCACCACCUGUCCCUGGGCCCCCAGCUGCAGGCUGCAAACCCUCAGCCUGAGAAUGUGAAAUAGGGCAGUGCCCAGCUGGGGAGGUAGAGGGAAGUGCUGGAGUACAUGGUCCCUGCGUGGCCUAGUUUUCCACGUCAGCGUUUGGUGUUACUCCUGUCCAAGUUCUGUUUGCAGCUUGUCUCAUGAAGAUGUUCUGGAAUGCUUGGGGACUUUGUGUGGAAGAGGAUUGUUAUUUCAUUUUAUAAAGAGGAAGGGGCCUGGGGGACUUGGGAAAAUGUUUCUGGAGUGGCUUUCAGAGUGGCUGGAAAAGGCUCUUGUUGCUGUCAUUUAGAGAGAAGCCCGUGUCUUUGGCCAGUCAAGUAAGUCCCUGGGUCUUUGGCAAAGCCAGAGGAAGAAAGGAGGCACCUGACCUUUCCCGGGCAUGCUUGGUGACUCAGGCUGAUCAUGGAGUAUGCAGUUGCCCUUCUACCCUGCACCUGACCUCCUGGUCCCCUCCGCCUGCACUAGUGUGUAUUACUGAAGCAAGGCUUCUGUGGCCAUCUUGCACUUUGGACACUGCUAAGGUGGCUGGGCUGCCUGGAAGGAGCCAUGACUGGUGUUCAGGGUACUACUCUAUUCCAGUUGGGUUCAGACUGCCAUGACUGUGGAUACGUUGCUCCCUGCCCUGUACUUAAGUGAUUUUCCAGUUCAAAGCCAAGGCAGAGAUGGACCUUCUGUCCCUUCCAUUUGAACACCACAGUGGAACCUGGAGGACUGGAAGAACUAGGUCACGGACAUUUGAGCAGGUGCCUUGGGCCUGACGUACAGACAGUCAUAUAUACGUGGCUGGGAUACGGUGCCUCAUCCAGAUCCAAUGAGCAGCCCCUGGGGAUCGACCCCAUUCAUUCGUCAUCACUCCCAGCAGCAGGUCUGUUUCAUUGUGGAAGAAACUUUGGCAUUAUAGAGACAUCAUCGCAAAACAGCAAAAACAAAAUCGGCCCUGAACCCCAUGCACUGUGCUGCUUCCUGAGCCCCGGCCCUGUGUCCUCCUAGAGCUUGCUGGUUCCUAUUGGCUGGUUGGUUUUCCUGUCUGAAUUUUUGCCAGUCCUGUGAGCAGGACUGAUAUAUUCUCAAUGUUCCAGGAGGUUCUGGCCUUCAGGAACACUGGCGGUAGGAGGACAGCAUAAGGUCUGUGUAAAACUCUUCCCUCUCUGACCCUGUGUUUUCAAAUCUGUAAAAUGGGCAAUGAGACUAGAUGAUUUGUAUAUAGCCCAAAGCAUCUCUGGAACUGUCUAAACACCAGCCAUCUACUUGAAAUGGGCCCCUGAACUGUGGUAUUUGCCUGGGCCAGGAAAGGCUAAGAAAUCCUGUCAUGUCAAGACAGCUUGAGAGAUUUUGGGAAAAGUGGGGCUGGGAAGGAGCAGCCUUGUGAGACUCCAUCCCUGCUGAGGAUUAUUUCUGGGAAGCGGGUUCUCAUUUUGUGCAAUCCUGAAGGACCAAACUCACCCACAGGGGCCGAAUUGGGAUUAUAUAUAAUGCCAAUCAUUCUUGGGAUGAAGAAAUCUCUUUCCCUGUCACGACUGUCCAGCAAGGGACUAGGCAGAGAGUGUCAGGGCAAGACUCUUAUCCUGGAGGAAAUGAGAUUCCAAGUCAAGGAUGCUGAGGCUGUCAGGGAGCCAGAGAAGGGGUUCAAGUGUGGAAUGUGGGUGGCGGUGGUUCAGUGGCCCUGUGGUGGCUCCUAGCACUGCAGACUUAAUGACAAGCCACAUUCUCUGUACCAGUGUGUUGCUCUGUCACCCUGCUUGACACAUCCAGUGGCUUACAGUGACUCCUCUCUAACUCAGCCCCCUCCAAGGUGGGUUCAUUUGCCGAGCAGGGCCCGGAAACUAGAGCCAAGCCCGAGGCUUGAGACACACCUGUAUCUACAGUCCCACUCAAGGAUGCCCACUCACUUCUCUCAUCUGACCCUGUUUGUGGAAGGGAAAGCUCAAAGGGUCUCUUUUUGAGUGAUACUCUUGCCUCCUUCAUGACUACUCCAAAGUGAAGCCAGCAAGCAUUAAUACUUUGUUAUCAAAGUCUUCCUUGAGCGCAGGGACCAUGGAAGUCAGCUAGAAGAGCCCUGACCAAGGAGCAGGGACUUGGGCUUCAAGCUUUGUUAGGGGCUUGUGUGACCUUGACUCAUUCCCCGUGUGUCUUUGAGGCUUACAAAAUGCUAAAGCUGGGAGGAAACUUGGAGAUCUGUAGGUCAAACCUCCCCAUUGGGCUGAUGAGAAAACACAGCAUGGUGCCUGCCACCACGGUGGGAUCCAGUAUUUUUUAUAAAUCUAAGUGGCUCACAUAUGCACAGCCUUGCACAUGAGCAGAAUGUGACACUCAAUGCAGCCAUGCAGUAUAUAUGUAACCUUGCACAGGAGAGGUGCUCUUGUGACAGAAUGUUGUCCAGGACUCUACUGCAGAAGCAGUGGAAUCAGCAUGGUAAUAGGGAGACCUACUUUUCAACCCUGGCUUAGCCACCUGCCCUGUGAUCCAGGGCUUACCUUCUUUGGGCCUCGGCCUUCUAAUCUGAAUAAUGGGGAGGACAUGGUUGGCAUUGUUAGCCCCACAGGCCAAGGGUAAGGUUGAGAUGAGAUGGCUUGUAUGUCAAGAUUUUGGAAACUAUACAAAUGGAGGCUUGUUACUGGGAUGAAGAUGGCUGAAAGGGACUCCUUGCUGUCUAUCUACUCCUUCGAGCCCUCCCUGAGUUAACCUUUGCCCCAUUCGUAAAACCACCAGCAUCAGGAAUAAGGGGGAGGCCAGAGGGCUCAGAUGGACACAGAAUUCUAGCUUCAUCUGUAUCAGCUGAUUGUUUUCUGUUGGGAUUAGAGUGAGCAUACUUCCAUAUGGGUGAUAGCAGUAUUUCCUUGCCACUCCCCUGCGAGUCAACUUCAAGGAUCUGGGACAUUUCUCAAUUGGGUGUUGUGUCCAUUCCUCCUCCUUCUGAACUCAGUCUUGAGAUGUGUCUGUACUUGGCCAUUUGUGUCUUGUCUGAUGUCCGUCUUCUGUAGCUUUGCCUCUGUCAGGGCUGGAGUGGUACAGCCCCUGGCAUCUCAGACAUGGUUCCUGGCUCACUCGUGGGAGCUGGACCAGCCUGGGUUCCAUCUCCCAUAAUAAAGACAAGCCCCACAGACCUUACUGCUACCGCUGCUGCCAUUAAUGUUGUGCUCACAAUCUUGUCCAGGAUUUUAAGGAUGUCACACUGCUGUAGAUGACUCAAUAAAUGUUUUACCGUUUUUCCUGG